AUGAACGCUGGCGGCGUGCCUAAUACAUGCAAGUCGAGCGAACAGACGAGGAGCUUGCUCCUCUGACGUUAGCGGCGGACGGGUGAGUAACACGUGGAUAACCUACCUAUAUGACUGGGAUAACUUCGGGAAACCGGAGCUAAUACCGGAUAAUAUAUUGAACCGCAUGGUUCAAUAGUGAAAGACGGUUUUGCUGUCACUUAUAGAUGGAUCCGCGCCGCAUUAGCUAGUUGGUAAGGUAACGGCUUACCAAGGCGACGAUGCGUAGCCGACCUGAGAGGGUGAUCGGCCACACUGGAACUGAGACACGGUCCAGACUCCUACGGGAGGAAGCAGUAGGGAAUCUUCCGCAAUGGGCGAAAGCCUGACGGAGCAACGCCGCGUGAGUGAUGAAGGUCUUCGGAUCGUAAAACUCUGUUAUUAGGGAAGAACAAAUGUGUAAGUAACUAUGCACGUCUUGACGGUACCUAAUCAGAAAGCCACGGCUAACUACGUG
This 496-nucleotide ribosomal RNA is filed under the name uncultured bacterium. RNAcentral describes it as "partial 16S ribosomal RNA". It matches the Rfam family "Bacterial small subunit ribosomal RNA", at positions 29 to 507 of the family's 1533-position model. The record is from RNAcentral.